Molecule: ribosomal RNA, 465 nt
Filed under: uncultured bacterium
Lineage: Bacteria
Description: partial 16S ribosomal RNA
Rfam family: Bacterial small subunit ribosomal RNA
Source: RNAcentral
CCUACGGGUGGCAGCAGUGGGGAAUAUUGCGCAAUGGGCGAAAGCCUGACGCAGCGACGCCGCGUGAGGGAUGAAGGUCUUCGGAUCGUAAACCUCUGUCAGCAGGGAAGAACGGUCACUGUGCUAAUCAGCAGUGAAUUGACGGUACCUGCAAAGGAAGCACCGGCUAACUCCGUGCCAGCAGCCGCGGUAAUACGGAGGGUGCGAGCGUUAAUCGGAAUUACUGGGCGUAAAGCGCUCGUAGGCGGUAUGGCAAGUCAAGGGUGAAAUCCCCGCGCUAAACGUGGGAACUGCCUUUGAAACUGGCAAACUGGAGUGUGGGAGAGGAUAGUGGAAUUCCAGGUGUAGGAGUGAAAUGCGUAGAUAUCUGGAGGAACAUCAGUGGCGAAGGCGACUAUCUGGCACAUAACUGACGCUGAGGAGCGAAAGCGUGGGUAGCAAACAGGAUUAGAUACCCCAGUAGUC